AAAUCCAGAUGUAUGGCUUCAUAUACAUCAGAUCUCCUCAGAAUCCUUCAAUGAAGGCCAGGAAUCUGCAUUUUAGUAAGUUCCCCGGACUAAUUCUUAAGCAU
This 104-nucleotide microRNA precursor is filed under the name Otolemur garnettii (small-eared galago). Its description in RNAcentral is "miRNA (ENSOGAG00000031930.1)". Lineage: Eukaryota; Metazoa; Chordata; Mammalia; Primates; Galagidae. The record is from RNAcentral.